GAUGAACGCUGGCGGCGUGCCUAAUACAUGCAAGUCGAGCGAACAGAUAAGGAGCUUGCUCCUUUGACGUUAGCGGCGGACGGGUGAGUAACACGUGGGUAACCUACCUAUAAGACUGGAAUAACUCCGGGAAACCGGGGCUAAUGCCGGAUAACAUUUAGAACCGCAUGGUUCUAAAGUGAAAGAUGGUUUUGCUAUCACUUAUAGAUGGACCCGCGCCGUAUUAGCUAGUUGGUAAGGUAACGGCUUACCAAGGCAACGAUACGUAGCCGACCUGAGAGGGUGAUCGGCCACACUGGAACUGAGACACGGUCCAGACUCCUACGGGAGGCAGCAGUAGCGAAUCUUCCGCAAUGGGCGAAAGCCUGACGGAGCAACGCCGCGUGAGUGAUGAAGGUCUUCGGAUCGUAAAACUCUGUUAUUAGGGAAGAACAAAUGUGUAAGUAACUGUGCACGUCUUGACGGUACCUAAUCAGAAAGCCACGGCUAACUACGU
Molecule: ribosomal RNA, 496 nt
Filed under: uncultured bacterium
Lineage: Bacteria
Description: partial 16S ribosomal RNA
Rfam family: Bacterial small subunit ribosomal RNA
Source: RNAcentral